Molecule: small RNA, 114 nt
Filed under: human gut metagenome
Description: drum RNA
Rfam family: drum RNA
About the family: Firmicutes, Bacteroidetes (1 example), Proteobacteria (2 examples), Spirochaetes (2 examples). Terminator (Clostridia)
Source: RNAcentral
AGCGUAGAUGUGUGUCGGCGUGCCGAUAUGCGUUGGCAUACGGAGCUUUCGGGAGGGGUUUGUGUAGUGUAACCUCAAAUCGGCGUAGGCUUAAUGCCGAAAGAAAAUGCACUA